UCCACCGUGAGAUGAAAUCUGAAGAAAGCUGAUGGCAACCUCCUGCUCCAACGCAUAGGAACUUCAUAUAAGACAUGUAGUGUGGGUAAGGUUGCUAAACAAACUAAAGCCCGAUGGCUAUUCGUAACGGUUGAUAUAAAUGAAGUAGUUAUGAGGAAAAGGCAAUGUCU
This is a non-coding RNA of Prevotella multiformis DSM 16608, 170 nucleotides long. NCBI's taxonomy places the organism in Bacteria, Pseudomonadati, Bacteroidota, Bacteroidia, Bacteroidales, Prevotellaceae. The record is from Rfam.